AAAACGUUCUCCGGCCGGCCGGCCGGCCGCGGCAAUCUGCACACGCAGCGGCAACAAACAAAAUCAACCAGUAGCGCGAUCAUCGAACGAAAUGCGCCCCAAGAACAAAAGAAACUGCUAAUCGACUGAACAACGUAAACAUUCCGUCAGAGCAGAACUGGAGAAGACCGCACAGCGGAGAAAACAAAAAGAUACAAAUGAGUUUGACGUGGACGUGCACCCUCAACUCAACAACAAUAAUAACGAAAACAGCAGCCACAAUUCUUGGAUCUUCAAGUCGUCUGAUGACCAGGUUUGUGUUUAUUUUCGGGUCUCGUUUAUUUUCCGUGGAGUGACCUUGAGCGGCGGUCGAUUCCCGAAGGAUUAAAUCCGGAAAAAUCGUCAACAGAGUAUCGGCCGGAAUGCCCCCGGGGUAAACUCCUGUUUUUCGACCGAAUCGCCUCCGGUUCCAAGUCCGGUGUCCAAUUAGGGUUGUCUUGAGCGAACCGGAAGAAAUUGAAAUAUAGCCACCGAACGGACAACCGAAAAUAGAUGUUUGUUUUUCGGAAACUUCCGAGGCCAAUCUGAGUCGGAUUUUGAAGAAGUGGUGUGGGACUCUUCUGGUUCCGAUUACUUUAAACCUUGCUUACGGUCAGCAGCAGCGAUUUCGGUCCGCGCUUUGCUAUGUAAAUACAAUGUGUAAAAAGAGACCGCUACCUACAAGAGCGCGUGUACCGGUGGCAAUUAUUGUACAACACUGCCGUUUCAGGACGACGGCUGUUCCCACACGACGGUUCGAACAAGUUCGUGGCCGGAAGUGUCGCCCGCUACACAGGACACAUUUCCUUUGAUUUGGACCCAACGAUAAGGCACCGGAGGUACCGUUUUUCCUGGUAACGUGAAGUUAACAACGUUCGUCGUCAAUUGCUGGGAACUGGCACUGACUGGCCCCGGCUUUCCUUCCCCGAUAGAUAAGCGAGAUAAUCGAGAAAUUAGGGGUGACGAA
Molecule: long non-coding RNA, 985 nt
Organism: Uranotaenia lowii
Lineage: Eukaryota; Metazoa; Arthropoda; Insecta; Diptera; Culicidae
Exons: 4
Source: RefSeq, a predicted model, not a curated record